UCCUGGUGUAGCGGUGAAAUGCGCAGAUAUCAGGAGGAACACCGAUGGCGAAGGCAGGUCUCUGGGCCAUUACUGACGCUGAGAAGCGAAAGCAUGGGGAGCGAACAGGAUUAGAUACCCUGGUAGUCCAUGCCGUAAACGUUGGGCGCUAGGUGUGGGGCUCAUUCCACGAGUUCCGUGCCGCAGCUAACGCAUUAAGCGCCCCGCCUGGGGAGUACGGCCGCAAGGCUAAAACUCAAAGGAAUUGACGGGGGCCCGCACAAGCGGCGGAGCAUGCGGAUUAAUUCGAUGCAACGCGAAGAACCUUACCAAGGCUUGACAUACACCGGAAUCAUGCAGAGAUGUGUGCGUCUUCGGACUGGUGUACAGGUGGUGCAUGGUUGUCGUCAGCUCGUGUCGUGAGAUGUUGGGUUAAGUCCCGCAACGAGCGCAACCCUCGUUCCAUGUUGCCAGCACGUGAUGGUGGGGACUCAUGGGAGACUGCCGGGGUCAACUCGGAGGAAGGUGGGGAUGACGUCAAAUCAUCAUGCCCCUUAUGUCUUGGGCUUCACGCAUGCUACAAUGGCCGGUACAGAGGGUUGCGAAACUGUGAGGUGGAGCUAAUCCCAAAAAACCGGUCUCAGUUCGGAUUGGGGUCUGCAACUCGACCCCAUGAAGUCGGAGUCGCUAGUAAUCGCAGAUCAGCAACGCUGCGGUGAAUACGUUCCCGGGCCUUGUACACACCGCCCGUCAAGUCACGAAAGUUGGUAACACCCGAAGCCGGUGGCCUAACCCUUGUGGGGGGAGCCGUCGAA
RNAcentral lists this ribosomal RNA (794 nucleotides) under Dermacoccaceae bacterium SM42. Its description in RNAcentral is "bacterial SSU rRNA". It matches the Rfam family "Bacterial small subunit ribosomal RNA", at positions 668 to 1460 of the family's 1533-position model. The record is from RNAcentral. Lineage: Bacteria; Bacillati; Actinomycetota; Actinomycetes; Micrococcales; Dermacoccaceae.